Molecule: ribosomal RNA, 253 nt
Filed under: uncultured prokaryote
Description: partial 16S ribosomal RNA
Rfam family: Bacterial small subunit ribosomal RNA
Source: RNAcentral
ACAGAGGGUGCGAGUGUUAAUCGGAAUUACUGGGCGUAAAGCGCACGUAGGUGGCGAUGUAAGUCGGGCGUGAAAUCCCCCGGCUUAACCUGGGAACUGCGUCUGAUACUGGACGGCUUGAGUAUGGGAGAGGGGUGUAGAAUUCCAGGUGUAGCGGUGAAAUGCGUAGAUAUCUGGAGGAAUACCGGUGGCGAAGGCGGCAUCCUGGACCAUUACUGACGCUGAGGCGCGGAAGCUAGGGGAGCAAACGGGA